RNAcentral lists this ribosomal RNA (483 nucleotides) under uncultured bacterium. RNAcentral describes it as "bacterial SSU rRNA". It matches the Rfam family "Bacterial small subunit ribosomal RNA", at positions 28 to 507 of the family's 1533-position model. The record is from RNAcentral.
GAUGAACGCUGGCGGCGUGCUUAACACAUGCAAGUCGAACGAAGCACUUACCAAGGAUUCUUUCGGGAUGACUAAUAAGUGACUGAGUGGCGGACGGGUGAGUAACGCGUGGGUAACCUACCUCACACAGGGGGAUAACAGUUAGAAAUGACUGCUAAUACCGCAUAAGCGCACAGGACCGCAUGGUCUGGUGUGAAAAACUCCGGUGGUAUGAGAUGGACCCGCGUCUGAUUAGCUAGUUGGUGGGGUAACGGCCCACCAAGGCGACGAUCAGUAGCCGACCUGAGAGGAUGAACGGCCACAUUGGGACUGAGAUACGGCCCAGACUCCUACGGGAGGCAGCAGUGGGGAAUAUUGGGCAAUGGGGGAAACCCUGACCCAGCAACGCCGCGUGAAGGAAGAAGGCCCUCGGGUUGUAAACUUCUUUUACCAGGGACGAAGAACGUGACGGUACCUGGAGAAAAAGCAACGGCUAACUACGUG